RNAcentral lists this ribosomal RNA (1513 nucleotides) under uncultured Mycoplasmataceae bacterium. RNAcentral's name for it is "bacterial SSU rRNA". It matches the Rfam family "Bacterial small subunit ribosomal RNA". Lineage: Bacteria; Bacillati; Mycoplasmatota; Mollicutes; Mycoplasmatales; Mycoplasmataceae. The record is from RNAcentral.
UGGGUUUGAUCAUGGCUCAGGAUUAACGCUGGCGGCAUGCCUAAUACAUGCAAGUCGAACGAAAUUUCUUUUUUAAGAAAUUGAGUGGCGAACGGGUGAGUAAUGUAUGUUCAAUCUGCCUCAAAGUGGGGAAUAACUGUUGGAAACGACAGCUAAUACCCCAUAGGGUAAUACAAGGCAUCUUGUAUUGCUUAAAGGUGCAUUUUGCAUCGCUAUGAGAUGAGAACAUAUCACAUUAGCUUGUUGGUGGGGUAAUGGCCCACCAAGGCAAUGAUGUGUAGCCGGACUGAGAGGUUGAACGGCCACAAUGGGACUGAGACACGGCCCAUACUCCUACGGGAGGCAGCAGUAGGGAAUAUUUCACAAUGGACGAAAGUCUGAUGAAGCAAUGCCGCGUGAAGGAAGAAGGUUUUCGAAUCGUAAACUUCUGUUAUAAGGGAAGAAAAUCUAAAAUAGGAAAUGAUUUUAGCUUGACGGUACUUUAUUAGAAAGUCACGGCAAACUAUGUGCCAGCAGCCGCGGUAAUACAUAGGUGGCGAGCGUUAUCCGGAUUUAUUGGGCGUAAAGAGUGCACAGGUUGUUUAUUAAGUCAAUUGUUAAAUACCGAAGCUUAACUUCGGUCCGCAGUUGAAACUAGUAAACUAGAAUGCAGGUGGGGACAGUGGAAUUCCAUGUGUAGCGGUGGAAUGCAUAAAUAUAUGGAGGAACACCAGUGGCGAAGGCGGCUGUCUGAACUGUAAUUGACACUUAAGCACGAAAGCGUGGGGAGCAAAUAGGAUUAGAUACCCUAGUAGUCCACGCUGUAAACGAUCUAGACUAGUUGUUGCCAAAAAGGCAGUAACGCAGCUAACGCAUUAAGUCUAGCGCCUGGGUAGUAUGCACGCAAGUGUGAAACUCAAAGGAAUUGACGGGGACCCGCACAAGUGGUGGAGCAUGUGGUUUAAUUCGAUGAUACGCGAAGAACCUUACCUACGUUUGACAUACUUGGCAAAACUAUAGAGAUAUAGUGGAGGUUAACCAAUGUACAGGUGGUGCAUGGUUGUCGUCAGCUCGUGUCGUGAGAUGUUCGGUUAAGUCCGGUAACGAGCGCAACCCCUUUCUUAUGUUACUAACAAGUAAUGUUGAGGACUCAUGAGAUACUGCCUGGGUAACCAGGAGGAAGGUGGGGAUGACGUCAAAUCAUCAUGCCCCUUAUACGUAGGGCUACACACGUGCUACAAUGGCUGUUACAAAGGGCUGCCAAACCGUAAGGUGGAGCCAAUCUCAAAAAAACAGUCUCAGUUCGGAUUGAAGUCUGCAAUUUGACUUUAUGAAGCUGGAAUCACUAGUAAUCGCAGGUCAGCAAUACUGCGGUGAAUACGUUCUCGGGUCUUGUACACACCGCCCGUCAAACCACGAAAGUCGGUAAUGCCUGAAACCGCUGUUCUAACCUUUAAUGAAAUUCGUUUCUUUAGAGGAGGAAGGCGUCUAGGGUAGGAUUGGUGAUUGGGGUUAAGUCGUAACAAGGUAACCA